AGGCAUAUAAUGAGAUUCAGCGUUGUUUUCUUGUUAUUGGUUCAGUUUAUCCGGAGGAUCUGUAUGCCUUCCUUCUGAGUAAAUGUCAGGCAAAAGAUGAACAUUUUGUGGUUGGAGCGCUCUGUACCAUAAAAAAUCUCUUGCCGAGGUUAUUGGAAGCUUGGCAUGCUAAAAGGAAUUUACUUAUUGAAGUUGUGAAAUCACUUUUAGUUGGGCAGAGUUUAGGUGUGCGAAAGGCACUUGCUGAGGUUC
Molecule: long non-coding RNA, 252 nt
Organism: Phalaenopsis equestris
Lineage: Eukaryota; Viridiplantae; Streptophyta; Magnoliopsida; Asparagales; Orchidaceae
Exons: 3
Source: RefSeq, a predicted model, not a curated record